UGAUGUGAGGGCCAUCUGGCCGUUACAUCUGUCACCACCUUGAUAGCCAGGGCUGAUUGGUCUGAUCUGGCUGGCUAGGCAGGUGUCCCUUUCCUCCUACAGUGUCCCUCCUGAAGCUGCACACUCCAGUCAAAGAGGAUGACCUUCUCAGAAUAGAGACAGAGCGGUCUUUGGUUGAAAGUAUACAAGUAGUUGCUUUCCCCUCCUAGUACCUCCAAACAAGCUCUCAAGGUCCACAGUGAGCCCAACCCAACCUCUGCUUGAGAAGACAGCAUCUUUAGUCUCUUGACUUGAUCUCCAGUGUUACAGCUGAACCCCUGAGUGCAUAAGACAAUAAAA
This is an unclassified non-coding RNA of Erinaceus europaeus (western European hedgehog), 339 nucleotides long. Its record names the gene 7SK. It matches the Rfam family "7SK RNA". Rfam says of the family: 7SK was discovered as an abundant small nuclear RNA in the mid-70s but a possible function has only recently been suggested. Two independent studies have found that 7SK RNA binds the CDK9/cyclin T complex (known as elongation factor P-TEFb). P-TEFb activates transcription by phosphorylating the C-terminal domain of RNA polymerase II. Lineage: Eukaryota; Metazoa; Chordata; Mammalia; Eulipotyphla; Erinaceidae. The record is from Ensembl.